ACACACACACACACACACACACACACACACACACUUUCAUCCCAUCCACUAAGACUGGAUCAUGCCCUACAGCCUGCAUCCAUUAAGAUAUCCAUGUCUCAACCAUCAUGGCCUACAGCCUGCAUCCAUACCGAUAUGCAUGUCUCACGUUCAAAGUGUCCCCUACUGACGAUGUUAAGCAGAGCCCAGUACGCACAGAAACCCUCUGUUUGCAAACACAGCAGGAUAAAUUCACUUCAUUUUCAUUACACUUCAUCAAUAUGAUGCUUUGGAUAAAAGCAUCUGCUAAAUACCCGACCUUGACCUUUAUUUUAUUUUAUUUUAUUUUAUUUUCAUGUUGCAUUGUUUGCUGAACUGGCUCUCUGACCUGCACUGUGGUGUUUACAGAGUGGGUUGGCUCCCUGUCUGCAUCUGGGUGUGUGUGUGUGUGUGUGUGUGUGUGUGUGUGUGUGUGUGUGUGUGUGUGUGUGUGUGUGUCUGCAUCUGGGUGGGUCUGGAGCGUCUGCAGGGAGAUUCACUGGCUGCUGGGCUGGACAGCAGCAAAGGGAAUUGAUGGGGUUAGAAUUGACGUUUUUUCACCCCUCUCUCUCUCCCUCUCUCUCUCUCUGUCUGAUCUCUUCUCACUCACUUCCUCUGAUCCCCCUCCUUCUCUCGCCCCCCUCACUACCCUUGCUCUUUAUUUAUUUCUCUCUCUAUCCCUCUCUCUUCCUCUUACUCCCUCUCUCUUCCUCUUUCUCCCUCUCUCUUCCUCUGUAUCUCUGUCUACCUCUUUCUCUCUUCCUCUCUAUCUCUCUCUCCCUCUCUCUUCCUCUCUAUCUCUCUCUCCCUCUCUCUUCCUCUCUAUCUCUCUCUCCCUCUCUCUUCCUCUCUAUCUCCCUCCCUCCCACCCUCUUCCUACUCCUUUCAUUCCCUUAGUGCCCAAUCUCUCUCUCUCUCUCUCUUUCUUUUUCUCUUCACCCCUCUCUUCCCCCUCUCCCCUCUGCUGAAUAGUGCCUCCAGUCCUCUCUCUCCCUCUUUCUCCCCCUCUCUCCCCCUCUUUCUCUCUCUCUCUCUCUCUCAGUAACAUAAAGCAGUGUUGGUGUGUUGCUGUAUAACUCAAUUAGACACAGCGGGCCCACAGGGGGACAUGCAGCCAGCCAGCCUCUCUGCUGUGUCUCCCCUCUGUUGCGUAACAGCCUCUUUAUUACACAACACAAUGGCCCGUUUCAGACCAAGGACUUUCGUGACACUUAGCCUUAAUCUAUUUCACCCACAGAGGACUUCAUAUUACCCCCUCAUCAUCACCGUCAGGACCUUCAUCAUCAUCAUCACUGUCACUGCCGUUGCGUAAUUGCCACUACUGUCCUUGGGAACCCACCAUCACUUUCAUCAUCAUCAUCGUCGUUGUCAUCCUCAUCAUCGUCGCCAUCAUCACUUUGAUUAACGUAUCAAACAUCACCUUCAACCAUAAACAUCACCUUCAACUUCACGGUCAUCAUCCUCAUCAUCAUCCUAAUCAAAAUAGCUGUUGCAUUAGUCUUUGUUGUCAUCAGUAUGUCUAUGUCUGUCUAGUGUGUGCGUGUGGGUGUAUGCUUGUGUGUGUGUGUGUGUGUGUGUGUGUGUGUGUGUCUGUGUCUGUGUCUGUGUGUGUGUGUGUGUGUGUGUGUGUGUGUGUGUGUGUGUCUGUGUGUGUGUCUGUGUGUGUGUGUGUGUGUGUGUGUGUGUGUUUGUGUGUAUGUGUCUUCUAUCUGUGAGUGUUAUCCUUCUGUGUCAUUAUGAUGUGCAUCUCAGGUAAGGCUUCAGAGGAUGAGGUCAAGAACUGUGACCUGGUCUGGAUCAGAUCCACAGCCUGCUGUUCUCUGGACAACAGUGGAGUCGCCGCGGAGACCUGCCGCAUCUCUGGUCGCGCUGACGUAAACCCACUUUUUUUGCUGUUUUGUUUACUUCUCGCCUGCCAUUCUCAUGCUGUAAAUGAACCAGGAACAGACGGCAGAGAUUCCAACACGACAUCAAGCUGCUGUGUGUAUUGAUGGGCCAUGCAACUGGACAACUGAAUGAUGGGCCAUGCAACUGGACAACUGAAAGCAUUAAAUAAUUAAUCAUCACCAGCGCCCCCCCCCCACCCCAC
This is a long non-coding RNA of Clupea harengus (Atlantic herring), 2107 nucleotides long. Lineage: Eukaryota; Metazoa; Chordata; Actinopteri; Clupeiformes; Clupeidae. The record is from Ensembl.